This 937-nucleotide long non-coding RNA is filed under the name Heterocephalus glaber (naked mole-rat). RNAcentral's name for it is "lncRNA (ENSHGLG00000034572.1)". Lineage: Eukaryota; Metazoa; Chordata; Mammalia; Rodentia; Bathyergidae. The record is from RNAcentral.
UCCAUCUUCCACCAUGGAAUGGCACAACUUCCAACUCUCGUGACAGUUAUCUUCUAUUCAGAAAACAAUCCACAAGCAUAUUUGCAUAGCACUUUUCAUGUGUUUUUUCUCCAGAAUUGUUUCCUUCUUUCUUUGAAGACUUAACUUAGAAUGAAAAAGGCUCUGUGUGAAAGGCACACCAAGGACACUCAGAUCCCAAGCCUUCGCUUCUUGGAGCUCGACCUAGCUUUAGUCUACCUGGCCAUGUCUGAUUCAUCCUGCAAAAUCCGUUCAAACAGACUUCUAUGAAGAUUCUGGGACCCCUUAUAAGAGUGACAGUGAACCUUUUAGAGACUGAGUGUCCAAACUGCAAUCCAAAACCCACUUACUUAUCAGAAAGUGGCAACAGUGCAAUUAAACCUGUAUGUUGGACAGUUUGUAAUAACUAAAACUUGGAAACAGCCCAAAUGCCCAUCAACUGGAGACUGGAUAAAGAAAAUGUGGGGUUUUUUUUAUAAAAUGGAGUACUACUCAGCCAUCAAAAAGAGAAAUUAGAGACAUUUAUUGUUAAAUGGAUGCACAUUGAGGCAAUACUCUUUUUUUUUUUUUUUUUUUUUUUUUUGGUACCAGGGAUCAAACUCGGGUCCUUGCACUUGCACAGCAGGUGGUGAAAUCACUGAGCUAAAUCCCCAGCCCAAGGUGAUACUCUUAAGUGAAAUAAAUAGGAUACACAUGUGUAAAUACCUAAUAGUUUCUCUAGUGUGAGAAACUGAAAGUGUAAAUAAGGACUAAAAGGAUAAUAGAUAAUGUGAAAUAGGAAGAAAAAGGGCAAAGGGGAAGGGGAAGUGGGAGGGGUAGGGGAAAGGAAAGAAGGGAAUGGAAUUAAUAUGAGAAAAUGAAAAAAAGGAAACAAAGUCUUUGUAAAUAGGGAGGGGUGGAGGGGUUGAAGGGAGGGCAG